Molecule: non-coding RNA, 1967 nt
Organism: Paramuricea clavata
Lineage: Eukaryota; Metazoa; Cnidaria; Anthozoa; Malacalcyonacea; Plexauridae
Source: the annotation of a GenBank genome assembly
AGGUACAGAUCGACACAACAUAGUGGAAAUGGCCAACCCUUCAGUGAACUAUCCUUUAACUUCUCGAAAGCCAUUAAAAAUGUUCACCAACGCUGAUAUCGUCUGGUCAAGUGAUGAAAAGACGAAGACUAAACGAGAUCUUUGGCUAAGUAUGGCUUCCUCUGGCUACUACAGCAGCGUGUCGCAUUAUAAGACUUUGAAACAACAACUUCAGUAAUCGUAACGAGAAGGGACGACUUUUCGUCCGACAAGGCAAAAAGUAAACACAAGAACCUGUAGUGCUAUAAAGAAUGUUUUUACCUCUCUCUGAAUUGCGCAACUCACCACCGUCGUCUUGCAGGGUAUUGAAUUCAAUUAAAAUUAAGUUUAUAUGUAUGUUUAGAAAAAAAUUUUAGAAACUGUAUACCGCGUAAGCCAGCCAUUUUACAUGAAACUUUUCGUUAUUGAGAUAUUGUUUUAAAUAUAUAAGAAGACGACGUUCUUGGCAGACUAUAAUUGUUUAAGGUAAUUCCGCAGUUUUGCAUUGCUCACUUUUACUGCGCACAUCUUAUAACUUAUAUUUUCAUCCAUUAUACGUACCGUUUAAAAAAAUAUCAUUUUAUGACAAUUCUAUGUUACUUCAAAACAUCUUUGGUUACAUUCGUGCAGAGAAUUACGUUAAAAUCAUUUUUUUCAAAAAAGGCAUACAAAAGUGUAGCUAGGGUUCCCUGUGUCUGUAGUAUAUUUAUUUACUUGUAUUUCACGUUUUAAUGCCACAAUGGCCUAAAAAGAUCGGUGACCCCCGUUUUUUAACUGAUAAUUUAUUUCUUUAAUGUAUUUUACAUUUUCUUAUCCGAAAUUAAAAGAAAAAUCAUUUCUGGAUCUUGAAAAAAAAUGCUUUAUCAAUGCAUGUUCUGAAAGAAAGAUAUGUAAAGAAAUGUGGAAAAGACAUUUGUGGAUCAGAAUUGUACACGUUAGUAGUUUCAUUUUGCUCAAAACACAAUAUUUUUUCAAAAUAAUUACAAGACAGGUUUACUAAAGGAAAAUCCGUGCUAAAAACGUCAAUAAAUAUCGGGCUGUUGUGAGUUUGCUGUUACUCGUAAUGAGCGUCAAGAUGGCGCCAUAUUGCGGUAAAGGUGGUAUAUUGUGAUUGUCAUAUCUUCUUAACGAGUUCGGUGACACCGACUUUUUUGUGUGAUUUUAUUUUAAGUAUAUCAUAAACUCCAGGCCUGGGAAGUUUCAGCACAUUCUCAUUUCGGGAACAAUUACUGCGGGAUUACCUUAAACGAAAAAUGUAUUCUGAUUAGACAUCUUCAAGACAGCAUAUUUUGCCUUUUAUCCAGAACAUUUUGCCAUUUUUCGCUUGAAAUCUACACGAUUUCUCAGCGUUUGAUGUGUUUUACCUUGCUUAUGACGUCACACUUCAUUUAUUCUAAAAUUUCUCAAAACCGGAACAUUAGCUCUUCAAUUAUCAAAAUUGUGCUUUCUAACUUAAUAAGCCCAUGCAGAUCAGUUGAAAAUAAUUCCGAUCUCCGAUACGAAUUUGCUAUAUUAAAUUUGCGUCCGGACAUUUAAUUUACACUGCUUUUGUACGCUGGUUAUAUUCAGUAAAUUUUCUCCCAGUACUUAUAGGCAAACAAUUUUGUGUAACAUGUCCGCUCAUGACAUUAUGAGCACGCACGAGAGAGAGAAUAUUCAUUAAAUUUGACCAAUAUGUUUUUUCAAAUUACUUGUUAAUGAGAGAAGCUUUAAUUUUCUUUAUAGUUCUUCAGACCGCUGCCUUGCUUUAUAUAUUAAUUACUACUUUAGCUUAGUUUGAUUUGAAAAAUUCAAUGUAGAUUUAGUGGAUCGCAUGUUCUGUAAUGUUAGAAAGACCAUACUAUAGACAAAAAUCAUAAUAAUUGAAUAUCAAUUUAAUUAUUGGCCAUGGAAACGAUUCAAGUUUGAAUAAAAACUAGUUAGAGAACGAUCAUCGUUGCACCAAUGUC